This 638-nucleotide ribosomal RNA is filed under the name uncultured bacterium. RNAcentral's name for it is "bacterial SSU rRNA". The stretch from base 1 to 541 matches the Rfam family "Bacterial small subunit ribosomal RNA", at positions 338 to 873 of the family's 1533-position model. The record is from RNAcentral.
CCUACGGGAGGCAGCAGUGGGGAAUUUUGGACAAUGGGCGCAAGCCUGAUCCAGCAAUGCCGCGUGAGUGAAGAAGGCCUUCGGGUUGUAAAGCUCUUUUGUCAGGGAAGAAACGGUGAGAGCUAAUAUCUCUUGCUAAUGACGGUACCUGAAGAAUAAGCACCGGCUAACUACGUGCCAGCAGCCGCGGUAAUACGUAGGGUGCAAGCGUUAAUCGGAAUUACUGGGCGUAAAGCGUGCGCAGGCGGUUUUGUAAGUCUGUCGUGAAAUCCCCGGGCUCAACCUGGGAAUUGCGAUGGAGACUGCAAGGCUAGAAUCUGGCAGAGGGGGGUAGAAUUCCACGUGUAGCAGUGAAAUGCGUAGAGAUGUGGAGGAACACCGAUGGCGAAGGCAGCCCCCUGGGGUCAAGAUUGACGCUCAUGCACGAAAGCGUGGGGAGCAAACAGGAUUAGAUACCCUGGUAGUCCACGCCCUAAACGAUGUCUACUAGUUGUCGGGUUUUAAUUAACUUGGUAACGCAGCGUACGCGUGAGAGACCGCCGNGGGUAAGGUACGGUCGUUCGAGUAAGUUAAACGUUAAAGUUAAGUUAAGUUAGACGGCGUUGAGACGNGCCGACGGACGACGACGAGGGAGGAGG